UUGAUCUCGGAGCUGGUGAACACAGCCUGCGCUUUCCGCCUGCCCCGCUGCCCCGAGGGUGCCCUUUCAGGCGUAUCUCUGUGGUGUUUGGGGAGCACUCCUUCCUUGUGACCAUAUCUGGUCAGAAGCUGUUUGUGGUGAAGAGGCAGAACAGCGUCCGGGAGCCUGUGAUCGUCUGAACUUGACCUGCCCGCUUCUUCUGUAACUGUGACUUUGGGAGUGGGGGACUCAAGGAGAGUUGGAGUGCAGGAACAAAGCACCUUCUUUUUUUGUAUGCGUGUGGGGCUCAUCCCUGUGUUGAUACUGGGUCACAAGAGGGCUGGCGGCUCCUUGGAUGCGCUGUACGUUCUGCUUAAAGGCUUCGUGCCGCUGGGGGUUUGCUCCAUAUAGCUGUGGGUGUGAUGGCGGUAUGUGAAAUAAAGUUCUUUGAAAAGAGACAA
Molecule: non-coding RNA, 440 nt
Organism: Podarcis muralis (Common wall lizard)
Lineage: Eukaryota; Metazoa; Chordata; Lepidosauria; Squamata; Lacertidae
Source: RefSeq, a predicted model, not a curated record